RNAcentral lists this ribosomal RNA (678 nucleotides) under Rheinheimera sp. RNAcentral's name for it is "bacterial SSU rRNA". It matches the Rfam family "Bacterial small subunit ribosomal RNA", at positions 60 to 745 of the family's 1533-position model. Lineage: Bacteria; Pseudomonadati; Pseudomonadota; Gammaproteobacteria; Chromatiales; Chromatiaceae. The record is from RNAcentral.
AGUCGAGCGGGGUUUUCGGACCUAGCGGCGGACGGGUGAGUAAUGCGUAGGAAGCUGCCCGAUAGAGGGGGAUACCAGUUGGAAACGACUGUUAAUACCGCAUAAUGUCUACGGACCAAAGUGUGGGACCUUCGGGCCACAUGCUAUCGGAUGCGCCUACGUGGGAUUAGCUAGUUGGUGAGGUAAUGGCUCACCAAGGCGACGAUCUCUAGCUGGUUUGAGAGGAUGAUCAGCCACACUGGAACUGAGACACGGUCCAGACUCCUACGGGAGGCAGCAGUGGGGAAUAUUGGACAAUGGGCGCAAGCCUGAUCCAGCCAUGCCGCGUGUGUGAAGAAGGCCUUCGGGUUGUAAAGCACUUUCAGCGAGGAGGAAGGGAUUGUAGUUAAUAGCUGCAAUUUUUGACGUUACUCGCAGAAGAAGCACCGGCUAACUCUGUGCCAGCAGCCGCGGUAAUACAGAGGGUGCAAGCGUUAAUCGGAAUUACUGGGCGUAAAGCGCACGUAGGCGGUUGGUUAAGUUGGAUGUGAAAGCCCCGGGCUCAACCUGGGAAUUGCAUUCAAAACUGGCCAACUAGAAUACGGGAGAGGGGGGUAGAAUUCCAAGUGUAGCGGUGAAAUGCGUAGAGAUUUGGAGGAAUACCAGUGGCGAAGGCGGCCCCCUGGCCCGAUAUUGACG